RNA transcript from Oncorhynchus kisutch (coho salmon), 6054 nucleotides. It is a transcript of the gene named fucose kinase, with no coding region annotated. The transcript has 23 exons. NCBI's taxonomy places the organism in Eukaryota, Metazoa, Chordata, Actinopteri, Salmoniformes, Salmonidae. The record is from RefSeq and is a predicted model, not a curated record.
UCAAAGAAGAAGAACUGGUCGCGCAAACGAUUGAUUUUGCCGUCUCCACUCAUUCGGGAGCUACAUUAUUGCAAGAAUAGCACAGUGUAGUCUCUUUAGCUAUUGCCUUGGUUGAACGGUUUUAGCAUUGUUUGCAUGGACGUAAUGUUUGCUUCCUGUUACUUUCCGCCAAUGGCGUUUUAGUUUAGAUUGGUAAAUUAGGCUAAAUGUUCCGUGUAUGAAGACAGCAGACUACUUUCGUGGCUCAAUUGGAAGAUAUAUUGUUUUCAUAAAUACGUCAACAUGUCAAGCGAGCAGGUGUUCAGCUGGACUGUAGUAGUCCUGACCUGUCAACAUAAAGAUAGCGUUUACGCCUUUCAAAGAGAGCUGGAGGUCCGGCAGCAGCGUGGAGGUCUCUUACAGGGGACGUUACUGCUCACUGUGUCAGACCCCCAGGAGCCUGGACUGGGCAGUGGGGGAGCCACUCUCAAUGCACUGCUGGUGGCAGCCGAGCACCUGAGUGCCAGAGCUGGAUACACUGUUGUUACCGCGGAUGUCCUUGACGAUGCCCAUAUCCUGAUCUUGCACACGGGACGUGACUUUCCCUGGGAUAGCUGUGGCAGGGCCUUCUGCUGGCUACCUGUGGAAAAGCCAGCUCAGACUGUGCAGGGACCUGUCUGCUGCCUGGAUAUGCUGCUUGACUGCCUUUCCAAUCAGGUGUGCCCUGGUUCUCCCCCGGGUGUUUGGGUGUGCAGCACUGACAUGAUCCUGACCAUGCCGACUACCUUCAAAAUGUCAUGGGAGGGUUUUUCUGGGGUCCGUGUGUUGGCACUACCUGGUGAUGUCUCUUACGCCGCCAAUCAUGGAGUCUACUUUGCUGAUGAGCAGGGUAGAGUACGUGACAUCAUCUACAAGGGGUCAGAGGAGCGGAUUCGCCGAGCCGCACAGCCUGAUGGGAUGGUGCCACUGGUGUCAGGGCCUGUGUUCUUCUGCAGGAGGGUACUCGAGCGAUUGCUGAAGGCCCAUGUUACCCCUCCCCUUGACGGCUGCACGUACAUGGGCAUGGACUCUGGGGCACCACCCAUUCAGAUCUCACUCUUCCUGGAUUUGUUGAUGUGUCUUUGCUCAGACGUGAGUGAGUCAGAGUUUGUGAAUGGGGAGAGGGCGGGCUGCAGUUCCCCCAUCAGUCAACAGGGAGCAGUAGUGAGGAGCGCACGGGCCUUGCUAUGGAGGAUACUGAGAGGCACUACUCUCCAUAUGGUUUACGUUCCUGGCGGUUGCUACGACUACCUGACUCUGUCCGGUAGAGAGCACAUUGGCCGCCUGACAAAGAAGGGGACAGAGAGAGACACUUUGUCACACAUACAGAAUACUCAGUGUGUGAGUGAUGGAGGCAGGGUGAUCAACAGUGUUCUGGAGGGGGACGUCAGUGUUGCGUCAGGAGCAGUUAUCCAGCACUGCCACCUUCAGGGACCAGUGGAUGUGCAUUCAGGUUGUUUACUCUCAGGCCUGGAAGUGACCUCAUCUUCGCACAUCCAGCAGCUGGCCUUAACCAAUGACCACAUCAUCCAAGGGCACCACAUACAACUGGGAGAGAUGAAGAUUACUGUUUAUACAGUGCUGGGGGCUUACGAUGAUCUUAAGGUUUCCUGCGAUGACGAUGGUGCCACCUUUCUGAAUCACAGAUGGAGUGACCUCUACAGCCGCACUGGAAUACAGCCUGAGGAUCUGUGGGGGUCCGGGAGGUCCCAGUCACUCAUGGAGGCCCGCCUGUUCCCAGUCUUCCAGCCGCGGGGUGGUGCGGUGGGGCUGGAGGUGGGGGUGUGCUGGCUGUUGGGUGGGCCGGGGGCACUGGAGCAGUGGAGGGCCGUGUGGAGGCUCUCUCUCCGAGAGGUCCUUUCCCUUACUGACCAGGAGGGGGAGCUGCGCUGGAGGGAGGCGCUAUUCUUCCAGGUGGGGAGGAGGAGAGUGAUGGAUAACUUGAAGAGCCAGAGCGAUCGUGGGUUGUUGCCCAGCUUCAGGGCUGCCGUGCUUGGAGGCCAGCAUGAGGAGCUCCUCUGCACACUAGACUCCAUUGCAGCGGGCAGCGGGGAGAACCUGGGAGUGGCGGCCCGCUGCCUGGCCUGUAUAGCUGACGUGUUGGCCUGCCUGGCCGGGGAGGGCCGAGGGGGGCUGAGGAGCGGGCCGGCUGCUAACCCUGCCUGGAGCCAUGCCUUCUCCAUCCUGGAGCAGGGAGACCUGCUGGGUGGCGUCCAGGCCCUGGCCACCGAGAGAGCCAAGUGGCUCAGCAGGCCAGACUUGCUGGUGCGUGCUGCACGGCACUAUGAGGCGGCCGGGCAGGUGCUGUUACGACAGGCUGUGAUGUUAUCACAGAGAUUUAUCUACAUUGGUCAAGGUGAGGUCCCGCCCCUUGGGGAAUGGCAAGAUGUGGAGUGUCCUGCCAGACUGGACCUCUCAGGUGGCUGGAGCGACACUCCGCCCAUUGCCUUUGAACAUGGCGGCGCAGUGGUCAACGUGGCAGUGAAGGUCGACGGGAGACGUCCCAUCGGUGCCCGAGCUCGUCGCAUCAAAGAGCCCCGUCUGCUAUUGGUCAGUUCCAGCGGAGUGCAGGAUGAUGCUAUCGCCAUGGAGACAGUUUGCGAGAGGCUGGAGGAUCUGAAAGACCACUGUGUGCCAUAUGCACCUGCUGCCCUGUUGAAGGCAGUGUGUGUAUGCAGCGGCCUGGUUACCUAUCCCUCUCGGCAGUCCCUGGAUGAGCAGCUCCUGCAGCGCUGGGGCGGAGGGGUGGAGAUCCACACCUGGUCCCUCCUGCCGCACGGUUCAGGACUGGGUACCAGUAGUAUCUUGGCGGGAGCGGUGCUGGCAGCCGUCUAUAGAUGCACGGGGCGAACCUACGACACAGACUCUCUCAUUCACGCUGUUCUCCACCUGGAGCAGAUGCUGACCACUGGUGGUGGUUGGCAGGACCAGGUCGGAGGCUUGGUGGGGGGAGUAAAGGUGGCGCGCUCCAAAGCCUGUCUCCCCCUCCGGGUGGAAGUGGAACGUCUCCCUCUCUCCGACGACUUUCUGCUCUCACUGCAACAGCACCUCCUGCUGGUCUACACCGGCAAGACUCGGCUUGCACGAAACUUGCUGCAGCUACUUAGAGGAAUAGCCAAGGAGAGGAAGCAACUUCAGACUACUGAGCUGUACCCCUGGUGCAGUUUGAAGGAUGUUGGGUGUCUCGUCACUAAAAUGGCAGCCAUGUUAUUGUGCAGGACACGGUGCGGCGCUGGUAUAGCCGUGUGCCCUCCAUCGUGGAGAACGCCGGGCAGCUAGUGGACAACGCAGAAGAGUGUGCCCGCGCCUGUACAGAAGGCUCUCUCCCCAGGCUGGGGGCUUGUCUGGAGCGUUACUGGGGCCAGAAGAAGGUGAUGGCUCCGGGGUGUGAGCCGGCAGCUGUGCGGACCAUGAUGGAUGCCCUGCGCCCGCUGGCCCUGGGACAGACUCUGGCUGGGGCGGGCGGAGGGGGCUUCCUCUACCUGCUGACCCGCCAGCCACAGCAGGGGGAGGCAGUGCGUCAGGUCCUCAACAACACACAAGGCCUUCGAGACUUCAGUGUCCAUCCAGUUGAGCUGGACAUGGACGGCAUCUCACUGCUGAAGUCUUCUUGAGACACAGAUGGACGUCUGGACCCUAAGCCAUUUUUAUACACAUUUCUAACUUUUAUGAUCUAUUGGGGGACGGUUAGUGUUAGGACAUAUCACAAGAGGUUGGUGGUACCAUAAUUGUGGAGGACGGGCUCGUGCUAAUGGCUGGAGAAGAAUGAAUGGAAUGGUAUUAAAUACAUCAGACACAUGGUUUCCAGGUGCUUGAUGCCAUUCCAUUUGCUCCCUUCCAGACAUUAUUAUAAGCCGCUCCCCUCAGCAGCCUCCACUGGGACAUGUACACCUUUCAAACCGAGACAUUAUUCUGCCAACUUUAUGCCGACUUCUCUCUUUAUAAGAAAGGUAUUGCCCGCGAGACAAAGCCCAUAUGUUUAUUUCCGCCAACCGACCUAGUCAUGAUUACGGUAAAGGUCUGCCUACGGCUUAGAAUGAAAUGUAGCCAUAAAAUCCUGAGGCGGCAUUGGCACGCACUCCGCUCUUAAGCUCUUGAUGGUUGCUAGACAGCGGCCGUUACUACUAUCAUCCUGGCAGUUAGAAACUUUGCGAGGCAUGUCACUUCACCCAUCAUGCACUAUUUCCUUAACCACAACAGUGGAAACAAAUAUCACUGAAUGAUGAAAAUAUUGGAAUAAAGUAGGCUAAUGCAAUUGAAGGCAUCAAAUUAUUGUUUACUUAAACUCGCAAAAUCAUCCAAUUGUUAUAAUAGGCCUACAUUUGAUUUGAGGUGAGUGCUGCUCAUGAUCAUCUUGUCAAGUGGGCUCAUUUAUUAGCACUGAUCACACGCAGUAGGAACACGAGACUCCAAUGCUUUUGAAAAUAUAGAUUGCUAUUUUCUAUCGGUGUCGUGAUGAAGAUACUAUCAAUGUAAUAUCCUACGCCUGCUCCCUAACAAAGCAGAGUGAGGGUUGGAAAGAGGUGACACGUAGAUUUAAAAAAAAUAAUAAUCAGGUUUAAUUUGGGCUCUGAUAAAUCUUUUUAUGUUGCCAUGAUGCAGGUUGUGUGGGAUAUUCUUUGUAUUUUAUUCUAUUGUUUCAUUCUUAGCCUACUAUCAAAUGUGUGACUGUGUCUUUUCUGUUUAAUAAACAAUACAUAUACAUGCGCAUGCUACAACCAUAGAGGCUGCACAGACCAGUAACAUAAUUCAACUCAAAAUAUGAAAUUCUAUCCUUUUGAAAAUAUUUUUUAUUAGUCUUAUGGUUCUUAGGAUCUGCCUAAACAAAUGAAUAAUGGAUUUUUGUUGUGGUGUAUAUUCAAUGGAAUUAUGAAAAUAGACAACCACCCACAUCUGCACACCACUACAACCACUCGCGCACGGGAGGUAUAAAAGGCGUAUGCAGGCAACAAUGGGCCUGUUUGGGGGUCAUAUAAACAUUGGGAGAAAACAAUUUACCAGGCAAAAUACUGUAACAGUGGUGUAAAGUAUUAAGUAGUUUUGGGGGUAUCUGUACUUCCCUAUUUACAUUUUUGACAACUUUUACUACACUACAUUCCUAAAGAAAAGUAUGUACUUUUUACUCAUAUUUUCCCUGACACCCAAAAGUACUCGGUACAUUUUGAAUGCUUAGCAGGACAGGAAGAUUCACACACUUAUCAAGCAAACAUCCCUGGUCAACCCUACUUCCUUUGAUCUGGCGGACUCACGAAACAGUGUUCGCCACGGGCACAAAACGGUUCAAAUUCUACUACUAAUGGACAUUGUCAAGGGAUACCCUUUCACACUCAAUCCCUCAGGUGGCAGCGACCGGGUCCAGAUGUUGAGCUUGGUUGAUUGGCACACAUUGGUGCUGCCAAUUAGGGUGAUCGUCAGUCAGCGUCUCAGCUUGUAAGCUGAGGCUGCUGGUUCGUUUGGACAUGCCUGCUGGUGGUUUCCUUUUUGUACAUGUGUUUCGUCACCAUCUGAACAAAUAAAAAUCCGCUUGGAUGGCCAACCAAGAGGUCAAGAGACAGAGCCGGCCCUGGACCAAGGCAAGUUUGCGGUCUCCCUUUGCAACAUCUCGGCACAUACGUUGAUUUCUCACAAAUGCACACAUUCAUGUUACAGGACCCCUAGACAAAGCUUGUGCAACAAUAUCUGUAGGCUAGUUAUGGGUUUCGUCACACUACUAACUGCUACUUUCCCAUGCAACAAGAUCAACACACUUGAUCAAAAUGUUUAAUAUGGUAUUUAUGCGAGGUUCUUACUGUGUUUUGAUAUGGGAAUAUUUGUCUAUAGAAAUGUUUGAAAAAUGAUCCUAACACCAAAGAUUUGGCUUGUUAAAUGUAGGAGCCUCCUGUUAACAAAAAGGCUGUGGUAAGAGAUUGUAGCCUUGAUGUAUUUGCAGUGUACAAUAUAAUUGUAAGGGAAAUGAGCCAUUAAUAACAUACUACUUGAAUGAAGAUGAACCAUAACUUGUUUCGAGACUAAAAUACAUGAAAUCCAGCUCUGCAA